RNAcentral lists this ribosomal RNA (503 nucleotides) under uncultured bacterium. RNAcentral's name for it is "partial 16S ribosomal RNA". It matches the Rfam family "Bacterial small subunit ribosomal RNA", at positions 30 to 523 of the family's 1533-position model. The record is from RNAcentral.
AUUGAACGCUGGCGGCAGGCUUAACACAUGCAAGUCGAGCGGGGUGAUGGUGCUUGCACUAUCACUUAGCGGCGGACGGGUGAGUAAUGCUUAGGAAUCUGCCUAUUAGUGGGGGACAACAUCUCGAAAGGGCUGCUAAUACCGCAUACGUCCUACGGGAGAAAGCAGGGGAUCACUUGUGACCUUGCGCUAAUAGAUGAGCCUAAGUUGGAUUAGCGCGUUGGUGGGGUAAAGGCCUACCAAGGCGACGGUCUGUAGCGGGUCUGAGAGGAUGAUCCGCCACACUGGGACUGGGACACGGCCCAGACUCCUACGGGAGGCAGCAGUGGGGAAUAUUGGACAAUGGGGGGAACCCUGAUCCAGCCAUGCCGCGUGUGUGAAGAAGGCCUUAUGGUUGUAAAGCACUUUAAGCGAGGAGGAGGCUCUUUUGGUUAGUACCCAAGAUGAGUGGACGUUGCUCGCAGAAUAAGCACCGGCUAACUCUGUGCCAGCCGCCGCCGUAA